This 240-nucleotide ribosomal RNA is filed under the name uncultured bacterium. RNAcentral's name for it is "partial 16S ribosomal RNA". It matches the Rfam family "Bacterial small subunit ribosomal RNA", at positions 537 to 776 of the family's 1533-position model. The record is from RNAcentral.
AGCGUUGUCCGGAAUCAUUGGGCGUAAAGAGCGUGUAGGCGGCCCGGUAAGUCCGCUGUGAAAGUCCAGGGCUCAACCCUGGGAUGCCGGUGGAUACUGUCGGGCUCGAGUCCGGAAGAGGAGUGUGGAAUUCCUGGUGUAGCGGUGAAAUGCGCAGAUAUCAGGAGGAACACCAAUGGCGAAGGCAGCGCUCUGGGACGUGACUGACGCUGAGACGCGAAAGCGUGGGGAGCAAACAGG